Non-coding RNA from Heligmosomoides polygyrus, 71 nucleotides. NCBI's taxonomy places the organism in Eukaryota, Metazoa, Nematoda, Chromadorea, Rhabditida, Heligmosomidae. The record is from Rfam.
GCAUCGGUGGCUCAGUGGUAGAAUGCUCGCCUGCCACGUGGGCGGUCCUGGUUCAAUUCUUGGCCGAUGCA